RNAcentral lists this ribosomal RNA (505 nucleotides) under uncultured bacterium. Its description in RNAcentral is "partial 16S ribosomal RNA". It matches the Rfam family "Bacterial small subunit ribosomal RNA", at positions 28 to 507 of the family's 1533-position model. The record is from RNAcentral.
GACGAACGCUGGCGGCGUGCCUAAUACAUGCAAGUAGAACGCACAGUUUAUACCGUAGCUUGCUACACCAUAGACUGUGAGUUGCGAACGGUUGAGUAACGCGUAGGUAACCUGCCUGGUAGCGGGGGAUAACUAUUGGAAACGAUAGCUAAUACCGCAUAAUAUUAAUUAUUGCAUGAUAAUUAAUUGAAAGGUGCAAUUUCACCACUACCAGAUGGACCUGCGUUGUAUUAGCUAGUAGGUGAGGUAACGGCUCACCUACGCGACGAUACAUAGCCGACCUGAGAGGGUGAUCGGCCACACUGGGACUGAGACACGGGCCAGACUCCUACGGGAGGCAGCAGUAGGGAAUCUUCGGCAAUGGACGAAAGUCUGACCGAGCAAAGCCGCGGGAGUGAAGAAGGGUUUCGGAUCGUAAAGCUCUGUUGUAAGGGAAGAACGGGUGUGAGAGUGGAAAGUUCACACUGUGACGGUAUCUUAACAGAAAGGGACGGCUAACUACGUG